Molecule: RNA transcript, 660 nt
Organism: Fragaria vesca subsp. vesca
Lineage: Eukaryota; Viridiplantae; Streptophyta; Magnoliopsida; Rosales; Rosaceae
Exons: 3
Source: RefSeq, a predicted model, not a curated record
AUCAGAAAAUUGAGCAAAAUCAUUUUCUCUCAAGGAGUAAGAAAGCCUUAGUAGUGUGUUCUUUCCUUGUUGUCCAAGUUAGUAUGGAAGUGGUGUGUCUUUUUAUUUCAAGUUUGUUGUCAUCCCACUUGAUAUACAUGUGAUAUAAUAAUCAUUAUGCACAACAAAGAAGGAAGAAAGUUUGGAGAUAUGGUUUAUGGACCGGAGCUUCCAACUGUUGCCGCCAAGUUCAAACACCACGACGUGCCUCCGAUCAAUCCCGUCCAUUUUGGCGACUAUCUCACCGCGCUUUACAUCCGAGCAAACGACGUACCUCCGAUUAAUCUCGUCCACUCCGGUGACGAUCUCAAAGUGCUUUACAACCGAGCCGACGAUGUGACUCAAAUCAAUCCUUCCUACUCCGGCAUGGUAGAAUGCAUUAUGGGCUGCCAUGAUUUCUUGCUAAAUAGCCAAUAAAGUAAUGUCAUCUUCUACCUUUUCAAAAGGCAAUAACUGGUUGAACAAGUUUCCUCUCCUCUUUUAUUUGUACUUCCCUUCUUACUUUUAAUAAAAAUUUGACGGAGUGUAGUAGACCCAUAUCUUGAAUUUGUUUACUUAAUAUUUUGUAGCUAAGAUCUAUCCUCUAUACUCGAAGGUAAACAAUUAAUUUUUCAUUAUCAC